This is a non-coding RNA of Paramuricea clavata, 271 nucleotides long. The record is from the annotation of a GenBank genome assembly. Lineage: Eukaryota; Metazoa; Cnidaria; Anthozoa; Malacalcyonacea; Plexauridae.
AUUUCAGUAACGCCAAAUAUUAAUGUUACUUGUCCCAAUACCACUACAUUGACUAAAGGUGAUAACUUUACAUGUGUAUGCAGAGGAGAAGGUGGCAACCCUCCUGCAAACGUUACCUGGUAUAAAGAUGGCAAACAAAUUGUCACAGGAAUCGUAAUAGCAAUUUUGCCUCUCAUUGAUGUUGAUGAAGACGACGCCGGGACAUACAUAUGUGAAGCCAGAAGCCACGUGAAGGCAAAGAAAGAAAUGAUCAUUAAAAUAAUUGUAAACU